GAGGUUGGGAGAGGGAUGCAGAAUUCCAGGUGUAGCGGUGAAAUGCGUAGAUAUCUGGAGGAAUACCGGUGGCGAAGGCGGCAUCCUGGACCGAGAUUGACGCUGAUGAGCGAAAGCUAGGGGAGCAAACGGGAUUAGAUACCCCGGUAGUCCUAGCCCUAAACGAUGAAUGCUUGGUGUGGCGGGUAUCGAUCCCUGCCGUGCCGAAGCUAACGCAUUAAGCAUUCCGCCUGGGGAGUACGGUCGCAAGGCUGAAACUCAAAUGAAUUGACGG
RNAcentral lists this ribosomal RNA (274 nucleotides) under uncultured bacterium. RNAcentral describes it as "partial 16S ribosomal RNA". It matches the Rfam family "Bacterial small subunit ribosomal RNA", at positions 644 to 916 of the family's 1533-position model. The record is from RNAcentral.